UGAAGCUGGCGUCUUCGGCGUCCGCGUUGUAAUCUCGAGACGUGUUUUCCGUGCGGCUCUAUGGACAAGUCCCUUGGAACAGGGCAUCGUAGAGGGUGAAAAUCCCGUACUUGCCAUGGAAGUACCGUGCUUUGUGAUACACGCUCCAAGAGUCGAGUAGUUUGGGAUUGCUGCUCAAAGUGGGUGGUAGACUCCAUCUAAAGCUAAAUAUCGGGGAGAGACCGAUAGCGAACAAGUACCGUGAGGGAAAGAUGAAAAGCACUUUGGAAAGAGAGUUAAAAGUACGUGAAAUUGUCGAAAGGGAAGCACUUGAAGUCAGCCAUGCUGCUUGAGACUCAGCCUGGCUUUUGCUUGGUGUAUUUCUCGGUAGCAAGCCAGCAUUGGUUUGUGUCGUCGGAGAAGCGUAUGGGGAAUGUGGCAUCCUCGGAUGUGUUAUAGCCCUGUGCAGGAUACGACGACGUAGACCAAGGAACGCAGUGUGCCCUCU
This 487-nucleotide ribosomal RNA is filed under the name Malassezia restricta. RNAcentral's name for it is "partial large subunit ribosomal RNA". It matches the Rfam family "Eukaryotic large subunit ribosomal RNA", at positions 117 to 610 of the family's 3401-position model. The record is from RNAcentral. Lineage: Eukaryota; Fungi; Basidiomycota; Malasseziomycetes; Malasseziales; Malasseziaceae.